Molecule: long non-coding RNA, 577 nt
Organism: Haliotis rufescens (red abalone)
Lineage: Eukaryota; Metazoa; Mollusca; Gastropoda; Lepetellida; Haliotidae
Exons: 3
Source: RefSeq, a predicted model, not a curated record
UCGACUUCCGAAAAGAUUAUGCUAUAUUUGAUAUAUAAGAAUGAGCCUGUUUGAGUUCCACGUAUACCUAAUGAUGAUCACUUCAGCUAUUGUGAGAAUCCGGCCAUUGUACUGAGCGAUGAAUAUGGCCGCCACAGCCUCGUACAGAGCAGUGCCAUCCAUGUUGAUGGUGGCGCCGACGGGGGCGACGAAGCGAACAAUGUUGCGGUGGAUCUUGUUUCUAUUCACAAGACACUCCAUUGUGAUGGGAAGAGUGGCGGAGCUGGGAGUGGAAGGAGAGGGUGGUACUCAAGUCCCAGAUGUAGGCCCUAAGUCUGUCUAAGCCUGACACAUGCUCAAAUACUCAAGUGUGCACGAGAUCCCUACGUGGAAUGGACAUACGAUACACCAGAUAAAUAUGGAUGCAUUCUCCUAAAGAUGACCUUCACCUUGAUGCUGUUCCCCAUGCUGUGAUGAUGGCCUUCAUCUGGCGGAAGAUGAAGAGGUAGGGGUUCUUCCUGGUGGCGAUAAAGUAGAUGAGGGGGAGGAAGAUGAGGCCGUGGAUGGCAAGACCAGCCAGGACGGUCAGGAAGUAGUA